This 1135-nucleotide ribosomal RNA is filed under the name uncultured bacterium. Its description in RNAcentral is "bacterial SSU rRNA". It matches the Rfam family "Bacterial small subunit ribosomal RNA", at positions 173 to 1296 of the family's 1533-position model. The record is from RNAcentral.
AUAACAAUUUGAAUCGCAUGAUUCAAAUUANAAGAUGGCUUCGGCUAUCACUUUGGGAUGGACCUGCGGCGCAUUAGCUUGUUGGUAGGGUAACGGCCUACCRAGGCUGUGAUGCGUAGCCGAGUUGAGAGACUGAUCGGCCACAAUGGAACUGAGACACGGUCCAUACUCCUACGGGAGGCAGCAGUAGGGAAUCUUCCACAAUGGGCGCAAGCCUGAUGGAGCAACACCGCGUGAGUGAAGAAGGGUUUCGGCUCGUAAAGCUCUGUUGUUAGAGAAGAACGUGCGUGAGAGUAACUGUUCACGCAGUGACGGUAUCUAACCAGAAAGUCACGGCUAACUACGUGCCAGCAGCCGCGGUAAUACGUAGGUGGCAAGCGUUAUCCGGAUUUAUUGGGCGUAAAGCGAGCGCAGGCGGUUUGAUAAGUCUGAUGUGAAAGCCUUUGGCUUAACCAAAGAAGUGCAUCGGAAACUGUCAGACUUGAGUGCAGAAGAGGACAGUGGAACUCCAUGUGUAGCGGUGGAAUGCGUAGAUAUAUGGAAGAACACCAGUGGCGAAGGCGGCUGUCUGGUCUGCAACUGACGCUGAGGCUCGAAAGCAUGGGUAGCGAACAGGAUUAGAUACCCUGGUAGUCCAUGCCGUAAACGAUGAGUGCUAGGUGUUGGAGGGUUUCCGCCCUUCAGUGCCGCAGCUAACGCAUUAAGCACUCCGCCUGGGGAGUACGACCGCAAGGUUGAAACUCAAAGGAAUUGACGGGGGCCCGCACAAGCGGUGGAGCAUGUGGUUUAAUUCGAAGCUACGCGAAGAACCUUACCAGGUCUUGACAUCUUGCGCCAACCCUAGAGAUAGGGCGUUUCCUUCGGGAACGCAAUGACAGGUGGUGCAUGGUCGUCGUCAGCUCGUGUCGUGAGAUGUUGGGUUAAGUCCCGCAACGAGCGCAACCCUUGUUACUAGUUGCCAGCAUUCAGUUGGGCACUCUAGUGAGACUGCCGGUGACAAACCGGAGGAAGGUGGGGACGACGUCAGAUCAUCAUGCCCCUUAUGACCUGGGCUACACACGUGCUACAAUGGACGGUACAACGAGUCGCGAACUCGCGAGGGCAAGCUAAUCUCUUAAAACAGUUGUCAGUUAGG